AAUAAUAAUAAUAUGUAAAUAAUAUCAUCAUAUAUAACGUCAAAGACAUAUAGAAAAUAAACACGCGUUCGUUCCCAAAUUUCAGAAAACACGAAACGUGAUUCAGUCCCAAAGUUCAGAAAUCAAGCGUGAUUCAACCGUUCCAUGAUUCAGAAAACGCGAUUCAUCUAUUCUUCUUCUGCUUCUGCUCAUAAUCGAUUCAUUCCAUUCCGUUCUGUUGCCUCUUCCGACGUAGAACCCUAUCUUUUCGGUUCUGUUAAUUCUUCUCACAAGCUCAAAAAUCGAUUUUCUCCCUAAACCCAUGAACCCUUAUCCAUUCAGUUGUUUACCUGAGAAAGAUGAAAAAACAUAAUUCAUUCAAAGAAAGCGACGAACCCUAGCCUCACUCUAAAAACGCGAUUCAUUCUCUACUUUUCAGAUUUGAUUUAUAUAAUUGUAUAUGUUUUGAUUUAUUUAUUUAUUUAUUUAUUUAUUAUAUUCCUGAUUAUGUGAGAAAAAGCGAUUUGAUGAAAUAGAUGUUGGACAGUAGAGGAGUAGCUGAGUAUCUUCCGGAUGAGGAAUUUGGAAAACCUUCUAGCCUUCCUACCCUGUUGUUUAGUACCAAAGGAAAAGAAAAAGCAAGAGAGAGAAGAUGAUGAUUCAGAUGAGCCGAAAGGAAAGGAAAAGCGGCAGAAGGGAGGAUUAGGAAAAGGUUUUCAUGCUCCACUUCAGUUAUCCGAUGCCCUUGCGAAGUUCCUUGGAGAAAGCGCAACAUCUGAUGUCAUUAAAAGAAAGUGGGAUUAUAUAAAAGGAAACAACCUUCAGCCAUAUGUUGGGGCUGCUGGAAUCAUUGUUCCAAUCAUAGUGUACGCAAACUUGAUUAUGUCCGUGCAAGACAUACCAAGACAGUUUAGGAAUUUAUUGGAGUAUUGGGAAGAUGAAAAAACUCAAGAAGUAAGUCAUCAAAAUGCUCAAAAUAUAGCUCAACUAAAAUAUAGACACCGUACAGGGAAUAAAGCCUUUGCUGUUAUAAGAGAAAAAAUGGUAUUCUUUUUUAAAUUCUUCUAAAUGAACGUUAAACAUUCUGCCACUUAAUUAAUAUUUUCUCUUACUCUUAAACCGAGUAAGUAGUGAAGAUAAAGAGCCUCCAACUCAAGCUCAAGUUUUCAUUGCUACUCGACAAAGUAGGAAAGGAAAGGAGUUGGAUAAAGAAACAAACAGUGCAAUUAUAAAGCUUCAAGACAUGAUUGAAAACAAUGGGCAGCCUUCUUCAGAAGCCUUUCAAAGUAUAGUUGGCAAAGAAAAACCUGGGAGAAUGCGUUGCCACGGAAGAACCACAACCCUCACGCUCUUGAAAAGAAAUGAAGAAAUUAAAAAACUUAAAAGAGAGCAUGCUGAUGAGGUUGCCCAAGUUAGGACAGUGGUUUGAUUAGUUUGAUUGUGAAUGAUUGACAAUAUUAGGACAACAUUACGUUGAUCGAUGUUAUUAUUUUGAUAUAUAUGAAUGAUAAUCAUUUUAGUUUAA
Trifolium pratense (red clover) is the source of this 1504-nucleotide RNA transcript. RefSeq lists it as uncharacterized. The record is from RefSeq and is a predicted model, not a curated record. Lineage: Eukaryota; Viridiplantae; Streptophyta; Magnoliopsida; Fabales; Fabaceae. The transcript is spliced from 6 exons.